UCAUAACUGAAUACAUAGGUUAUGUAGAGGCAUACCAGGGGAACUGAAACAUCUAAGUACCCUGAGGAAGAGAAAACAAUAGUGAUUCCGUCAGUAGCGGCGAGCGAACGCGGAGAAGCCCAAACCAAAGAGCUUGCUCUUUGGGGUUGUGGGACGUCUCACAUGGAGUUACAAAGGAGCCGGUUAAACGAAGAGGUCUGGAAAGGCCCGCCAAAGAAGGUAAAAGCCCUGUACUUGAAAGUCUGCUCUCUCCGAGAUGUAUCCCGAGUAGUGCGGGGCACGU
RNAcentral lists this ribosomal RNA (283 nucleotides) under Paenibacillus taichungensis. RNAcentral describes it as "partial 23S ribosomal RNA". It matches the Rfam family "Bacterial large subunit ribosomal RNA", at positions 152 to 427 of the family's 2925-position model. Lineage: Bacteria; Bacillati; Bacillota; Bacilli; Caryophanales; Paenibacillaceae. The record is from RNAcentral.